GCUCGCACCUCUGGAGAAAAUUCCCCUUCCCCCAGUGCGCAGCACACCGACACCUCGGGGCAGGAGCACCGAAAGCUGUCUCCUAACAGAGCAGGUGGACGCAGCCCCGUGGACGCAGCGCCGGAUAAGGGCGAAAGAGCCAAACCUGUGCACUCUCUCCCAGCCAGGACUACUUUCUGGAGGCCAAUGACAGCCCCUCCCUCACACCGAAAUGAAGAUAAUUACACGGGUUUUUAAACCAGGAUAGAAGGGAGUUUAUUCGGGAGCAGUUCAUGGUCGUUUCCUAAGAGCAAACAAAAUUCACGCCAAACUCAUACCCUGCUCCACAGAGUCCUUGGUCUGGGGUAUUUAUGAUUAUUAUUGGAAACGGUUAUUCUUUAGAGGUGAUUAUUACUGAGGAGAAGGACGGCGCAGCCUGCGGUUCCAUCCCUGCAGCCCUUUCGGCUGUCCGCUCAGGUUGCGGCCGGGAGUCCUCCCAAGGGGUGAGAGAUGAGGUGCUGGAAAUUAAAACCUAACACCUUGCCCAGGGGCUCUGAGACCACUCGUCCUUUUAACAACCAACCCCCCCCCGCCCCCUCCCCAAAGGAAAAAAAAUGUUGCCCUGUCCCUUUUCUAGAGGAGGAAAGAAGAACGGUGCGUGACACGUGAAUCGUAAAAGUUCACUUUUGUUUGUUUAUUUGUUGAGGUAUCUUAAAUAGGGGAAAAGAAAGCACGACAAACAAGAAAGAAGCGGAAAGUCUGGAGGACUGUAACUUCUGUGGCUGGGUUUGAGGCGGGCGGACUGCGGCUACCUUUGGCCAUCUGGCUGGUUUAAGCUUUUGCCCCCAUGCUGUAUGAUUUUAGCUUAAAAUCUCUUCCGUUGCAGCGCCGCUUUUAUUGAAUUCAUCAAAAGCAAACUUUCCCCGAGGUUUUUUUUUUUUUUUUUUUUUUUUUUUUUUUUUUUUAAGAAGGGCUAAAAUAAUAAGUCGACCACUGUGACAUUCUCUGGGCUUAGGCCAUUUUUCAUAACGCAGCUGAUACGCUUUUGUGCAGCUAAGGCGACCAAACAGAUGAAUAACGAGAAAAGUCUCCCGAAAGCGAAAGCUUCCAGCUUUUCUCAUCUUUAAAAAGUUAAGCAAAGUGAGAGGUGCGUGUCGAAAAACUUCCCAAAUCCAAAAAAUAGCCCCCCUCCCCCCCACGCCAAAGAUCAGGGCAACACGUUAAUACCUCCGCAUGGUAACGAUGCCUUUAUAACAACUUACUGCACACACGCACACACCCGCACACACACACGCACACACACACACACACACACACUCACACAAAACUUUAAAGCUUGUGAAACUGCCCAGGUGGUGUUUAUAGGACCGUAGCCAGUGGGUUGUAAAGAAAUCCGAGACAUUUGAAGGAGAUUAUUUAAAAAUAAAUGACAAAACAUUUUUUUUUUCUUCAAUUUGCUCCCUGUUUCACUGUAUGAGCGGUGCUUAACGCAGGGCUUGGAGGACCAGGUUGUGUGCAGCGCUAAGGAACAGUCCCACAAGUUGGGAGGAUUUGGCAGGCGGGGAUCAAAGGCAGGAUAGAGAAAAAAAAUUGGCAGGCGAAGAUAGACAUUGUUCUAGUGACAAGAUGAGGGUCCCGAAAGGAGAAUGCUUGCUCCAUCGGAAGUGGCUGCGUGGCAAAGGGAGAAACCUCACUUUUCAAGCCCCUUUGCGAGGCAUUGUCUUUGGGGCUGGCGCUGCUGCCAUACAGUAGGGUCCCCAUGGCAACGCAACCUGCUGCUGCUGCUGCUGCUGCCCCUCUUCCAGAGUUGAAGGCACUGAAAGGCAGCUGAAGUGACUGGGCUUAAAGAGCAACAGAAUAAACAAUAUUUUGAUUCAUUGGGAGAAGAGAGAGAGGCUCCCGCCCCCCCACCCCCGCCCCCCGACCCAUGAAUGCUGGCAUUGUCCAUGCUUUUCUGAAUCUGAUUUACCAUAUCAUAACCCCUAGGAAGAAGAAAACAUCAAUAUCCCGAAGGAAUGGAGAUGUUUCUAUGGAAAACCUAGGAAUUUUAGUCCAUAACAGAUCUGGUGUAAAAAUCAAAGAGAUCAAAGGCGGCGCUCCCAGGAGUAUAGAUGCGUCUCUGAAUUAAAGAUGGACGAUGCAGACUACAAAGUACUUUUUUUCCACCCUCCUUUAUUCAGGCCUCUGUUUCCAUUUCAAGGGAGGCGCUGUCCCAACAUCAUAUCUGAGCCCAGACAGUCACCACGAACAAUGCUUGCGAAGGGGGAGAAGCGCUAAAGAAAGAAAAUCAUAACAACCAUCCGGCCUCGCAGGAUUGUUUCCAUUACAAACCCGGGCUCAACAAUUAAUUACGAAAUUGUUUAAGAAAAAAAAAAAGAAAAAAAAAGAAAGAAAGAAAAAAGAAAGAAAAAGAAUGAAGGGUGGUGGUGGGGAGAAAGGCUCAAGGCUCAAGGUUCAAGGCUCAAGCAAAGUGGUUGAUACAGUGGAUAAAGGCUACGGGGGUUGGGGGCUGGGUGAUGUAGGAGGCAGCCCCCCGUACCCCAGCCCUGCGGAACGCGGGACCAUAAGGAUCUGUGCGCAUCCGCGGAGGGCACCGCGGGCGGUGCGCGCUGCUCGGCCCCGCGCUCCCGGUCCCAUUGACGGUUCCGAGGGUGGUGCCGGGUCCGCUCGGGCCGGCAUCGCUCGGCCGGGUGCCAUAAAACAAAGCAAAGACACAUUUAAAAGAGCUAGGGGUAGGCAGCUCGCUUAUCUGCUACACGGCUGUCCCUCGGGGAGCGGGGUGUCCCUUCGGGCCCGAAUCCCCGUGAAGACACCCCUGCGGGAAGGGGAAGCUCUGCCCGUGGCGGACACCUCUGGACCUUUUCUUCUCCUGGGGGCCGGGGAGCGGGGGUGGGGGGAGGGCAGGAACCCGUUGUUACAGAACCCGAGAAGAUGAAUAUUGGAGAAGUCAAUUAAGUUGUUUGGAAACACACGCAGAAAAAAGUGCUGGGACUAAUGUUAUGAAGAAAGCCAAUUAAAAUGGUUUGAUAAGCAUAUGUAUUAGCAACAAGUGUAGCACAGAGGUCAGAAACAACACUAAGUAAACAGAGUUGACAGAAGAGUGAAUCUUUUGUGGCGGGUGCGCAGCUGUCCGGCCUCCCUUUGUCCGGGCUGAGGCUGGGUGCACGCUCCCUGCUGCCCUCUCCCCAACUCAAUGCACAAAAACAGAUUGGGAUGUUCUGCAUGCAUAGGCAACAUUGCAGCCCCAGUCCUCCCUUUUCUGUUCCUUCUUUAGGAGACAGGGCUCUCCAGACAUUUUUUCCUGACAGUAACAAAGCGGGGCUGUAAAACAGUUCAGAAUAGGAGGGGAGAAAGAAGAGAAAGGAGUCCCCGAGGGGGAAGAAAGCGCCAUGUCACAGGACAAAAGAAUAGGAAGUUGAAAAUAGAAAUAAAACUGAAAGCAAGAAUUAUCUUGUUAAACAGAGGUGCUUUUUGUCCGGAGUCGUCUUUGUGAAAGUUUUUAAAGUAUCAAGACGUGGAACAAGUGUGUAAGUCCCCACACAUACCGCAGUCAAAGAUUCAUGAGCUUCCGAGAGCCUUGAUGGCUUAUUUAUGUGUCAGCAACUUCUGCAGCUUAAGUGCGUUCUAAAAACCAGACCAGGGUCAGUGGGAGUCCCACGGACAUGGCUUAGACGGAGCGGGGCGGACAGGGGGAUGCCACCUUGGCCGAGGGAAGGAAAUACAAAGAUCACGAAGUAUCGAGCCGGGGUCUUUUCAUUUAAAGUGUUGAGAAUGGACCCGAGUCGGGCUGUUCGCUGCCGGUCCGGUCCCGCUGCCCACGGCCCGUGAGACUGGUUCGCGAUGGGGCCGAGCCGGGCAAGCGAAGGGAAGAUAACAGCCUUUUGGGACAGGCGGCGGAAGUGCCGGGGCUGAGCAAGCUGGGCCGGGUCGGGCCGGGAUGGGGCUCACAGCGGGCCGUCCCUCUCCAACCCAGCUGCGUUUCGUCCCUCGCACCCCGAGGGAAGGAUGCGCUUUUAGGAAGCGGUGCCGCGCUCCUUGCUCGGGCAGAGCACCGCUGCCGCCACCUCGAACACGCCUUGAGCUCUGCACUUGUCUCUCCGCGUUUAACGUCACUUAAGACAAUAAAGGGGAGAAACCCAAAGUCAAGGAGGGAGCAGCAAGACGAGCAAACACCCUUCUCUCCCUUCCCAAGAUCUGUUCUUCCUGUAUCCCUCCCGAAGGUACGCGAAGGAUGCCAGACGUGAACCUCGCUCGCCUUUCCCAGCCCGGAGCACAACUUUUGUCAGAGCAGAGCUGACAGGGAAACCUCCAGGGAAACCUCCAUCCCGGUUCCCAGGGACAACACGUGUUGCCCAAUGUCGCCCAAAUUGCCCACAACAUUGUCAGAAUAACUCCGCGGCAAGUGGCUUUUGCAGUCCCCGGGGAAACCGAUAGCUCUUGCACGCUUUUGAUCCCGGACUCCGGUUUAGUCAAGUUUCGGGUUGGAAAAGAUAAAUGCGAAAGCCUAAAUUUUAUGACUUGGGGAUCUGAAUAUGAAUCUUCUGUCUGGGCACGAGAACACACCAACCCACUGCAAAUCAGGAGGGGAAAAUCAGCAUAGGCUGUCACUGAGGCUCUCGCUCUGGCUUUGAAGCGGAGUCCAAGCACAAACUUUUCUGAUGAAUCGAAGUCGUUAAAUUUUAGUGCGGAUGAGUUAUGGCUCAGCUUCCAAAACAGUACAAAUGUUUAAUAAGAAUCGUCUCAUAAGUGGCCUUUUAGAAUUGUCUUGUUUCACCAGCGAAAAUUAAAUCUGGGACAUCUCGCCCCUUUCUGAAUGCCAUCUUCCCAGUACACUCCAUUUAUUAACAUUAUCAAUUCUCUCUCUCAAGUCUGUCGUUGUCAUGAUUUAAGGAGACUCUUUCCCUUAAAGCGGAGAUUUCCCAAUCGGAAAAACAGCCGACUCCAGUCACGCCGCUGCGUGAUUUCGGAAGCGCGUAUAAAAGGCCCCGGGGAUACUGAGAACAUACGGGUGACAGCGACCCCGCCGAGGGGCGGCUGCGGACCCCCCCUGCGCCCAGGUGCGGGCCGGGCCGGGCCGGGCAUAGAGAGGGGUCCCACGGGGAAUGCCCUCUGCGGGUCCGCGUGUGCGCGGGUUCCGCUCACGGCUGCGCUCUGCCCCGGGCUGCGCCCGCUCCCCGCUUCCUGCAGCCGGGUAAUGUGCGCGUUCGACAUGAAUUUCAGUGAAACCAGAUGCCAGCGUCGAAAUUAAUGCUAGCGUUUUGCAGAUUCUAUAACCAUUAAAGCUUCGAAUUAAUUAAGUUCUGCGGCUUUCUUUAAGUCGAACGCUAUCAUUUUAUUCCCAUCGAUGGGAGGCGGGUCAGCGCGCUUGGGCACAGUCACCAGAUACUUUCCAGAAGUUUAUUUGUACAUCAGAACACGUUCUGAACCGAUUCCAGGAACCCUCUGCUUCUUAUCCACGAAGCCUGCAAGCUUUGGAGAGCUCAGUAUAAAUAGCGUGCACCAGCCCGUAACUCCAGCAAAGCAGCCCCCAGCCCUCCCAACCUGGCCCUUGGAAGGCUUGUUUGCAUUUUUGGGGGGAGAAGGAUGCAGGUUUCUCUUUUUUCUUUCUUUCUUUUUUUUUUAAUGUCUCUUUUACUGUGCUUUUCCCCCCUUAUUUUUAUUAUUAUUAUUUUUAAUUACCGUCGUUUUUUUGGAGAGGCACUUUCCCGUAACCCCGCCCCGACACAGCCAGGUAAAGACAACAGACGGCACCUAAGUAACAGAUGUUCACAUAGGAGAGGGGUUGACCGAGGAACUCUCUUGUUCACCCCCCUGCAAACAAAAAAUAAAAUGUUUCCUAAAGCACAGGAAAGCCCCGAUGACCUUACAAUUCACCCCACACAUUAAAACAGUGGCUGCACGGCUGCCUGCCUGGGAAGAGAAAGCAAUAGACUUAAGAGGAAAUUGAAACAAAGACAUCAGAGUUGAUCUGGUACAUCUUUUGGAUCAGAUCAAGACAACUGUAUUUGAUUUUCUUGGCUUUACAGGGAGCACUAGGAAGAGCAAACCGCAUCAAGGUGGGGCCCGGGGCUGCCAGAAGGGCAGGUCCGACUGAGCCUGCUGCUGACAGUUGCAGGGAUGUCUCUGAAGGGCUGUGGAGCUCUUUGCUAAAAGGGGCGAACGCGUCCCCCGGCAAAACCCAGCCCUGGGGCCACGGCUUGGGUCCCAACCUCUCUUCUGCUUUCUCCCGCCGACCUUCAGGGCUGUCUGUCUGUGUCUUCCCGUCCUUCCGCCAGGGUCUCCCCGGCCCCGCACCGCCCGCUCGCCCCGGAUCAGCAAUCCCCGCUGCUGUUGGGGGGGGGGGGGGGGGGGGGGUCCCGCUCUGCGGGGAGCUGCGCCUCGCAAAGACUCGUUAUAGCCCUUUAGCGGAGAGGAUGACGGGUUAGAGGCGGGGGGCAGGGGUUAUCCCACCUCCGAGGGUCACAACGAGAAGAGCGCGUUUUUGCGCAGACUUUCGAGAGAAACCAGAGGAGGAGGGCGAGCCUUGCUGAGCAGGACAGCAGCGCUGUGCGCAGCGACGCCUGAGCAGCGGGAAUGAACGCUCACCACCGGUUCUUUUUUUCCCCCGUUUAAUCCCACAAUUACCAUUACCCCCGCAUGCUUUCCCCUGCGUGUCCUCAUUCAAUUAAUACAAGAAAACAAAAACAAAAACAGAAACCAACACAAAACCGAGGAAGAUAACUGUACCAGAGGCCUUUGAAACGCCGAGCGCAUCCAGGGGUUGGCAUUAGAAAAACGCUCCGCGCCGCGCUGCGCUGCGCGCCCGGGGACCGCGGCUGGGGCUGUCCGGCCGCCCCGUGCGCCCCUCCGUCCCGACAUCGCGUCUGUCGCGACAGCCGCCCAAAGGGGAGGAUGGAGAGUGCUGCCGUGCGGGGCGAUUCCCCAGACAUUUCGGAAGUGGGAAGGUUUUCUGGCUUUGCGUGGCCAGAUAUGGGGAUGGGACUCGACCGAGCUCACCGAGACCCUCUGGGGAAUGUAAAUAUUUCGGUUUUUUUUUUUGUUUGUUUUCUUCCCAUGAGAAAAAGAUAGAAAAGCUCUCUCUGGGGUAGGUCCCUGCGCGGCAGUUUGCUGACCGUAUCCCCUCGCUAAGGGACAUCGGCAAACUCUGCCGGCAAAGGUUUCUCCCUUCGUUGCCAAGGGCCACAUUUCCAGCAGCAAAGCGCUUUUAAUACUUUAAUUACAUUUAAAGAACAUCCCGAGUAUAAGGAUGCAGUUUAUCGGAAUAUUGCGAGCGUAUUUCAAAGAAGUCAAAUACCCGGAGUUAAUCAAUAUUCAGACACUCGAGGCUACAAAGCUAGGUGAAAACAAAGCCUUUUUCAGCAGAGUAGCAGUAAUAUGCGGCACCUGAAGUAAGUCACUGCUGGGGAGCUCUGUCAGACACUACUAAUUAACCUACUUUUCAACCGACUCGAUGUCAACUUUUUGUAAGCCGGGAGAGAGACGCACUUUCUCCGGAUUCCAUCGUCGCCCGCCGCCGUCCGGCCCCGCGCACCCCUGCGGGCGGUGCCGACCCCACCCGGAGCCCCCCGUGCUCCGGGGACCAGACAGCGUCGGUGCGGCGAUCUGAGCGGCAUCCGACUUCUUAUUAUUCUCCUCUCUCUUUUAAGUGGUUCUUGGAGCGUGUUAGCCCAGCGCUGCUGGUAAUGACUUCUUUUUUUUUUUUUUUUUUUUCCCCCGGAGUGACCCCUGCCUCCUAAUUGUUACAGGAGGGUGAGCAGCCGUGGGACAGCCCCUUUCAAACAUCGGAGGCUCAGUAAAGAAAGCCCGCUUUCCGGGGAGAUGCGCCACGAUGCUGCUUGUUUUACUUUAAGCAACC
This 7834-nucleotide long non-coding RNA is filed under the name Gallus gallus (chicken). Its description in RNAcentral is "lncRNA (ENSGALG00010018656.1)". Lineage: Eukaryota; Metazoa; Chordata; Aves; Galliformes; Phasianidae. The record is from RNAcentral.